Molecule: ribosomal RNA, 482 nt
Filed under: uncultured bacterium
Lineage: Bacteria
Description: partial 16S ribosomal RNA
Rfam family: Bacterial small subunit ribosomal RNA
Source: RNAcentral
GAUGAACGCUAGCGGCAGGCCUAAUACAUGCAAGUCGAACGAGAAUAAGAGGCUUUCUUCUUAUGAAAGUGGCGCACGGGUGCGUAACGCGUAUGCAACCUACCUUAAUCAGGGGGAUAGCCCGAAGAAAUUCGGAUUAAGACCGCAUAAAAACACAGGAUAGCAUUAUCCAAUGUUCAAAUAUUUAUAGGAUUAAGAUGGGCAUGCGUGUCAUUAGCUAGUUGGCGGGGUAACGGCCCACCAAGGCGACGAAGACUAGGGGAUCUGAGAGGAUGACCCCCCAGACCGGUACCGAGACACAGACCAGAAUGGUACGGGGGGCAGCAGUAACGACUGCUAGUCACGAGAGGUAACUCUGAACACGCCAUGCCGCGUAUAAGAAGCCAGCCAUCUGGGACGUCAGCUACUUUGAUACGGCAAUAAAGCUAUCUACGUGUAGCAAGCUGAAGGUACCGAAGCAAUAAGGCACGGCUAACUACGUG